Molecule: ribosomal RNA, 484 nt
Filed under: uncultured bacterium
Lineage: Bacteria
Description: partial 16S ribosomal RNA
Rfam family: Bacterial small subunit ribosomal RNA
Source: RNAcentral
GACGAACGCUGGCGGCGUGCUUAACACAUGCAAGUCGAACGAUGAAGCCGGAGCUUGCUCUGGUGAAUUAGUGGCGAACGGGUGAGUAACACGUGAGUAACCUGCCCUUGACUCUGGGAUAACUGCGGGAAACUGUAGCUAAUACCGGAUACGACCCUCGGGGGCAUCUCCUGGGGGUGGAAAGAAUUUCGGUCAAGGAUGGACUCGCGGCCUAUCAGCUAGUUGGUGAGGUAAAGGCUCACCAAGGCGACGACGGGUAGCCGGCCGGAGAGGGUGACGGGCCACACUGGGACUGAGACACGGCCCAGACUCCUACGGGAGGCAGAAGUGGGGAAUAUUGCACAAUGGGCGCAAGCCUGAUGCAGCAACGCCGCGUGAGGGAUGACGGCCUUCGGGUUGUAAACCUCUUUUAGCAGGGAAGAAGCGAAAGUGACGGUACCUGCAGAAAAAGCACCGGCUAACUACGUGCCAGCAGCCGCAGUAA